This is a non-coding RNA of Phascolarctos cinereus (koala), 707 nucleotides long. The record is from RefSeq and is a predicted model, not a curated record. Lineage: Eukaryota; Metazoa; Chordata; Mammalia; Diprotodontia; Phascolarctidae.
UAAUCAACCUCAGAUCUACAGAGAGCCACUUUGAAAAUGAUUUCAGCUGCCAAAAAAAAUAAUGUCAUUUACAAGCAGCUCUUCCUAUGUCCAAUUAAGCAACAGCCAAACAUGUUAGAGAGGGAAGAAAAGCUUCUGUAGUGAAGGCAGGAGCAAUGUGAGAGAGAUAGGGACCUGGUGCACCCCACCCAAAAGAAAACAGAAAUAAUGUGCGGAGAACCCUAAUGAAACUAUCAAGUCCUUCCAAAAGACCCAAUGAAUGUAAAGAGAUUCAUAUCAACCGGUUCCAGGCUCCAAAUUCCUGGCAUUCUUCAGGAUGACCUAGAACCAGUAGGAAGAAGCCUAAAUAUGAGAACUUGAUUUUUCACAAAUGUGCUUCACAGAAAUGUGCUGAAUACAUUUUGACAGGCCUAGAAGGAGACCAAUCAUCUGACUUUGAAGAGAUACUGUUAUGAAAAUAGAUUUACCCUCACUGUGUUCUGGCUCUGGUGACUGAAUCAGUGCAGGAAUUCUAUCCAGUUUGUAACUGUGUAUUAACACAGGACAAUAAGCUUACGCCAUAGGUGCCAGCUAGGGUUGUACUGGUUAGCCUCAGUAUGUUGGAGCAUGCUAUUUUCUUGUACCUAUCUUUGCUUCAGUGAUAAAUUGACCAAAGAGGUAAUCAUACAACAUUUAUUAAAGCUUAGUAUUGACCAAGAGAACUUCUG